This 253-nucleotide ribosomal RNA is filed under the name uncultured bacterium. RNAcentral describes it as "partial 16S ribosomal RNA". It matches the Rfam family "Bacterial small subunit ribosomal RNA", at positions 524 to 776 of the family's 1533-position model. The record is from RNAcentral.
UACAGAGGGGGCAAGCGUUAUUCGGAAUUAUUGGGCGUAAAGGGCGCGUAGGCGGCCUGGCAAGUGGAAGGUGAAAUCCCUCGGCUUAACCGAGGAACUGCCCUCCAAACUGCUUGGCUUGAGUCCGGGAGAGGUGAGUGGAAUUCCCAGUGUAGCGGUGAAAUGCGUAGAUAUUCGCAAGAACACCAGUGGCGAAGGCGGCUCACUGGCCCGAUACUGACGCUGAGGCACGAAAGCGUGGGGAGCAAACAGG